RNAcentral lists this RNase P RNA (365 nucleotides) under Muribaculum sp. RNAcentral's name for it is "RNase P RNA component class A". It matches the Rfam family "Bacterial RNase P class A". From Rfam's summary of the family: Ribonuclease P (RNase P) is a ubiquitous endoribonuclease, found in archaea, bacteria and eukarya as well as chloroplasts and mitochondria. Its best characterised activity is the generation of mature 5'-ends of tRNAs by cleaving the 5'-leader elements of precursor-tRNAs. Lineage: Bacteria; Pseudomonadati; Bacteroidota; Bacteroidia; Bacteroidales; Muribaculaceae. The record is from RNAcentral.
GGAGCCGGACGGCCAGUCGCUUGCCGACUUGAGCGGCAAGAGGAAAGUCCGGGCAACACAGGGCACCAUGGUUCCUAACCGAAACCUGUCGGCGACGGCAGAGCAGCGUGACAGAAAACUACCGCCACGCGUCAUGCGGGGUAAGGGUGAAAAGGUGGGGUAAGAGCCCACCGGAUCGGUGCGUGAGCAUCGGUGCCGCACGUCUCAUGGGUUGCAAGGUCAAGUAUACCGGCAUUUAAGGACGGCCCGUCCAUUGUCGGGGGGUAGACUGCUCGAGCCACGUGGCAACACGCGGCGUAGAUAAAUGACUGGCCGUAUGGCCUCGUGCCAUGCGACAUAACCCGGCUUACAGUCCGGCUCCAUUU